AGAUUCGGACAGUCUGACUGUGAUUCGAAGGAAGCCAAUGUGAUAUUUGGAAUGAGGGUAUCGAGGAGGGUUGGUGGUUUUAUUUUGGGUGGGAACAGUGAAGAUGACGUUUCCCACCGGCGAGGAUUUGCAGAGAGUUAUACGAGGAUAGAAGCCUGGUCUAGGGUUAGUGACAAUUUCGGACAAUUUUAUUAUUCAUGAGGGAUGCAACGUUGGACGUUGGAUGCGGGUGAAUGGAUGGCUCAGAUUAGAUCGACCAAACAGUGGCGUUUUGGCCUUAAAAAACUGGACCGGGUCUGGGAACGUUUGGGCCGGGUUAUUGUGUGUAUUGAAAUUGACUUGGGAAUAUAUAACAAUGGCCCAAUUCAGCAACCUUUCCCUUUUGUUCUCUUAUUUUUUUAUUAAUCUCUUUUUGUUAUUCUUCUUUUAAUUUACUUUUUUUUUAUUUUCCAAAUUAUAAAUUAGUAUUGUAUGUUUUUCUGAUUUUAUAAAGACGUAUAAAUGAAAACUAAAAUAUAAACCAAACUAACUCAUGCCUAAGAUUACUUUUAAAAACUAAUGUGCGACAAUUCCACAAUUAAUGCAACAUGAACUAUUUUUUUAUUUUCUCAUUUUUAUAAAACAAAUAAUUUGAUAAUUAAUCCUAAAAUAUAGAAUGAAAUCCUAAAAUGCAAAUGCAUAUAUUUUUGUAUUUUUUUAUGAAUUAUCAUGCACAAAUAAAAUGCAACAAUUAUCAGAAAAUGACAAAAAAUGCACAAAAAUUGUAAAAGUAAAGAAAAAUUAUUUGUUUUGAUUUUUAUGGAAAUAAUUCAUAUAUAGGGCAAAAAUCACGUGCUCACAGCUGCCCCUCUUCGCUCGGAUACAUGAAAUGUUUUCGGGCAAAGAUAAGUGAGCAAAUAUGAGCGAUUUUUGCCCAUUUGAAAAUUCCGUUGUGAAGCAUUUUGAAAAGUUUGGACCGCACCCUCCUUCGGAGAUUGCCUACAUAUCCUAGGCUAAGCAGGAAUCAGGUCAGUGUUGUUCGGGAGUGUCUGGUAGCUGGGACUACCAGGAGCUGUGAUUUCACUGCGAUUGCUGCUGCUGCCAUUGGUCACUGACCUUCCUUAUUACACCAAUCAAAAUAAAAGAAGCUAGCCUAAGCUAUGAACUACGAAUUACAAGAAUCCUAUCUAAAAAUCUUCAAACUUGGUCUUGCACUUCCUUGUUGUCUUGUAUUCUCUCUUGUUGUAACUCAUUGUUGUUACUUCAAAUUGUGCACCGAGAUGUUGUUCUUUCCUUCCAAAUUGCUGAACUUGAAUAAAAUUGAACUUGAAUGUAUUCCUAUGUUCUUCAGGCGGGCUCCUGACUUCACAAAAAUAGACAAAACAAAGAAAACUUUUUGCCCCAGUUUGGAAAACUGGGGUUUAUUAUCGGAUACUAAUACGAAUUUGAAAACUAAAACUUGAAUUGUAAUACCUCUGUUCUUCAGGCGGGCUCCUGACUUCAAAACUUGAAUGUAUUCCUCUGUUCUCCAGGCGGGCUCCUGACUUCAUAAAAAUAGGCAGGUGGGCUCCUGACUUCAAAACUUGAAUGCUGACUUCAAAACUUGAAUGUAUUCCUCUGUUUUCCAGGCGGGCUCCUGACUUCACAAAAAUAGGCAAAACAAAGAAAACUUUCUACCCCAGUCUGAAAAACUAGGGUUUGUUACCACAUAUUAUCAAAAAUUGACAACUAAAACUUGAAUUGUGAUAAGGCUGAAAUAUGACUUUAAAAGCUGAAACGUACCUUAAAAUUUGCAAUUUAUCUCAGGUGAAAAAUUCAUCAGACUAAGAUUUUUAUCUUAAGAAAAAUAUUCAACAGACUAAGACUUUGACUCUAGGAGAUAAUUCAUCAGACUAGGUCCAUUUUGUGCGGUCUCAGGAGAAAGAUUCAUCGGACUGAGAUUUUGACUCUAGGAGAUAUUCAUCGGACUAGGUUCAUUUUUGCGCGAUCUCAGGAGAAAGAUUCAUUGGACUGAGAUUUUGACUUUAGGAGAUAUUCAUCAGACUAGGUCAAUUUUUGCGCGAUCUCAGGAGAGAGAUUUAUCGGACUGAGAUUUGACUCUAGGAGAUGUUCAUCAGACCAGGUCCAUUUUGUGCGAUCUCAGGAGAAAGAUUCAUCAGACUGAGAUUUUGACUCUAGGAGAUAUUCAUCAGACUAGGUCCAUUUUUGCGCGAUCUCAGGAGAAAGAUUCAUCAGACUGAGAUUUUUACUUUAGGAGAUAUUCAUCAGACUAGGUCUAUUUUGUGCGUUCUCAGGAGAAAGAUUCAUCAGACUGAGAUUUUGACUCUAGGAAAUAUUCAUCAGACUAGGUCCAUUUUUGUAUGAUCUCAGGAGAAAUAUUCAUCAGACUGAGAUUUUGAAUCUAGGAGAUAUUUAUCAGACUAGGUCUAUUUUUAUGUGAUCAGGAGAAAGAUUCAUCGGACUGAGAUUUUGACUCUAGGAGAUAUUCACCAAACUAGGUCCAUUUUUGCGAUCUCAGAAGACAGAUUUACCAGACUGAGAUUUUGACUCCAGGAGAUAUUCAUCGUACUAGGUCCAUAUUUGUAUGAUCUCAUGAGAAAUAUUCAUCGGACUGAGAUUUUGACUCUAGGAGAUAUUCAUCAGACUAGGUCCAUUUUUACGUGAUCUUAGGAGAAAUAUUCAUCGGACUGAGAUUUUGACUCUAGGAGAUGUUCAUCAGACUAGGUCCAUUAUUGCGCGAUCUCAGGAGAAAUAUUCAUCGGACUGAGAUUUUGACUCUAGGAAAUGUUCAUCAGACUAGGCCCAUUUUUGCGAGAUCUCAGGAGAAAGAUUCAUCGGACUGAGAUUUUGACUCUAGGAGAUGUUCAUCAGGCUAGGUCCAUUUUUGUGUGAUCUUAGGAGAAAGAUUCAUCGGACUGAGAUUUUGAAUCUAGGAGAUAUUCAUCAGACUAGGUCCAUAUUUGUAUGAUCUUAGGAGAAAUAUUCAUCAGACUGAGAUUUUGACUCUAGGAGUUAUUCAUCAGACUAGGUCCAUUUUUUGAAUUCAAACAUUCCUUUCCUUCUUUUCAAAUUGUGCCUUCCUAUCUUACGUCUUUCGCCCCAAAUUAUGCCUUCCUUUUAUUUCAACUUUUCUGCCUUACUUUCCUUACACCAACUUCUGCCUUCCUUUUUCAACUUAUGCCUUCCAAUCUUUCCCAACUUUUACCCUUCUUCCCAAGUUAUGCCUUCCUUUCUUUUUCCAAUUUCUUCCUUCCUUUUUCUUUUCAACUUCUGCCUUCCUUUCCAAGUUAUGCCUGUCUUUCUUUUUCCCAACUUCUGCAUUUCUUCCUGAAUUAUGCCUUCUUUUCUUUUUCACACUUCUGCGUUUAUCUUAGGUGAAAGAUUCAUCAGACUAAGAUCUUCAUCUUAGGUCAAAAAUUCAUCGGACUAAGAUUUUCUUCCUUCAUCUUAGGUGAAAUAUUCAUUAGAUUAAGAUUUUGUCUUAGGUGAAAAUUUCAUCGGACUAAGUUAUCUCAACCAUUUUCUCCGAAACUUGUUUUAUCUACCUUCUAACUUGAAUUACCUUCUUUCAUAACUGCUUCCCAAAAGAUUGGUGUUGUCCUCCUUCAAAAACUGCUUCCCUAACAACUUGGUGUUCCAAUCCUCCGAAAAUUACUUUCCUUAAAACUGGUAUUUCUUUCCUGAACACUAGUUCACUCUUCUUCUGUUAACAAACUUGUAUUUGACCUUCAUGUUCUUCGAAUGGGUGCCCGACUUCACAAACAAUUUUCAAAACGGUAGUUUAAGAAACUUGUAUUUGACCCUCAUGUUCUUCGAAUGGGUACCCAACUUCAAAAAAAAAUUCAAAACGACAGAAAAUUUUCUACCCCAGUUUGAUAAUCUUCCUGUAGCAUAUCUUUCAAUAACAUUUCCAUGCCCCUGUUUCAAAUCAAAGAAAAUUCUGUCAGUUUAAAGCGCGGUGGUUGGUUGUGGUACUCCUGCUGGGAAUGACUUUCCUUUUCUCCUUUUUAUGCUUUGUGUUGUCCGACCAUCUUUGAAACUUGGCUAUUAAUUUCUGCCCUUCUUGCCGACUAUCUCUUAAUUAUUACUUCUAAUCUUAUUAUCUAACCUCAUAUGUUUUCUAUGAUAGCUGAUUCUUCUUGAAAAUCUUGCAUGUUUACUGAUUAACCACUCUUACCGUCAUCUGUGCCACCAAAAUACAUUUUUCCCCGUUCAAAUCCAAUAUCUUCUUUUUGGGGCAUUGCUCAUGAACUAGCAUACUCCUGUCCUUUGAAUCUUACAUGAAUUCCCAAUUUACUUCCAUUGCCUCCCACAGUAUGUUGUUAUUUCCUGGCUUAUCUGAUGUCCUUGUCCCUGAGGUCUGUUGCUCCCUUACUUGCCGAUAACUUUCAUUUCCAUCCCCGCUUGUUUCUUGCCUAACCACUUCAAUUAUCAUCCUUAUCACAGAACACAGCUCUUCUGCAUUCAAAACCCUAUACCUUCUGUUUGUUGCACUGUUUCUGUGCUGACUUUAACAAUCCUUGUGCCUCAACCUAAAGCAUGUUGAUUAUUACCAUCUCAAUGCUCUUAUUGUUUUUCUUGACUUGUGAUGCUUUGAUAUGCUAGCCAGACCCCAUUUUGUGCAAUUGGAAAGCUGGUGGCAAAUUUUGAAAUCAUUUCUCACUUGUUAUGACCGAAAAGACUCAAAAAGGGGAAAUGAACGAAACAGAGGAAUGGAGUGAAGGAAAAAGAAAGAGAUGAAUCCUAAAGGGAAAACUAUGAAGUAAAAACCUAUCAAAUGAGGAUACCAACUCUAAUGGCCAUGACAUGCACCUGCGGCCUAUUCUGUUAAGCAAAUCUGACGUUCAGCUCUUGUUGUGCCUUUUCAUCGUGAAACUGGGCUUCAAUGCUCCACUUAUCCAAUAUGAUUCGCAAUCCUUAUUCGACUUGUUUUGCCCGAAGGGUUUUCACCAUCAAGCAUCUCUCAUUUUGUUCUUUCUCUCAACUUACCGUCGCCUCAAGGUGCCUGUGAAGGUAAAACCAAUAAGACUCUCUCAUUUUCUUUUCUCUCAACUUUCAUCGCUUUGCGAUACCCAUGAGGGUUUUCAUCAAUCCAGCUCUCUAUUUUCCUUGCUUGGACCGGCGUGUUGCCCCUGACAUGAAUUACCCUUACCUGCUUGACUUGGCAUUUCUCCAAGACUGAUCGGAAGGUCUUUUUUUGGACCGUAAUGUGGGCUUUUGGAUAGGGUUGGAAAGAAAGGAUAUAAAGGCUCAAAACAAUUCAAAAUGGGGUUAAAACUACAACGUUCAGAAUCCGAUUUCUUUCAACAAUCACAACUUCUGCCCUAGUUUCUUGGUUGGUGACUUUUGGAUUUUAUUUUGGUAUGAUUGAACCUCAGAGAGGUUGCCUACGUACCCUUUUGCGAUCAAGUAAAAUGUAGUUCACGUCAUCAAUCAUAAAUUUUGCCCUAGUUUCUUGGUUGGGGACUUUUGGAUUUUAUUUUGGUAUGACUGAACCUCAGAUAGGCUGCCUAUGUACCCUUUUCGGAUCAAGUCAAACGUAGUUCACGUCAUAGAAACUACGUUGUUGUGAUUUUCUUUCUCUUCUUUUCUUUCUGUUUCUUGCUUUUUCCUUUCUUUUCUUCAUUUUUCCUUUCUUUUCUUUUCUUUUCUUUUCUUUUUUUUUCUUUUUUUCGUUUAUUUUCCUUUUCUUCCUUUCUUUCUUUUUUUCUUCUUCCUUUUCUUCUUUUCCCUUUCUUUUUCUUUUUCCUUUCUUCUUUUUCAUUUCCUUCCUUUUCUUUUCAUUGUUUUUCCAUUUGCUUAUCUCUGGAACUUGCGUUUCUUUGAUUAUGCUGUUGAUUCCGAAAGAGGGGUAUGAAAGAAAAUAAAAACAGCUCAAAAGGGGUAACGAUGGAAAAAAGUAUUUGGAUAGCAGAACAAAAACGCCUUCGUCAUUUCAACCCUCAAAAUAUGCCAAGUACAAACAGGUACAAUCAAAAUGCAGAAACCAUACAGAGUAUCUCUUGACUGAAUCGGAAUUGACGGCCAUUUCCAACAUUUUUUUCUACAUCUGUCUGACAUAAUGUGUCAUUGGGCAACACUGCUACUCUUAUUACCACGUCCGGGCCCCUGUAAAUUCGGCCGACUUGUUCUUUUCGGGGAUUUUUCUUAUGUUUUAAUUGACCCAGCAUCUCAUGGUUCGCGCAUCAAACAAUCUCAAAACGUCCAAAUCUGUUCUUAUUUCCUCAAGUGCCCCCAUCGUCUUCAAAAUGGUUUUAAAGCUCUGACUGAGAAUUAUGCGUGCAUGUCAUGUCAAUAGAACCAGCAGGAAAAGAACUUUAGAAAGAAAAGAUAACUAAACAAAAAAAUGACUAGAAAUGGCAUAACAUAGAGGAUUGUAUUAAACAGAUGGUGGAAGGGUUAACAAUAAAACAAGCAACACAACUGGGGUACAGUACUAAAACAAACCUAGAUAACACUACAUUAUAUAUGACGACUAAAGAAACUAAACACAUAAAAGGAUAGAAGGGUUUGAAUCACAAGACAAUAUCCGGAUUACAACCCUGAAAAUAACCCGAACAACAGAAAUGACAAUAAAAUAGACCACCAAAACUUCUCUCCGGCCGGCCAAGAGAUGAAGCGUCUUUCCAAUUACCAAGCUUGACAUCUUAGCCACUGAGUUCUGCAUUAACAGCAUUAGGAACUUUACAAACUUUCAUCACAUAAUCCUCAUCAAGUUGUUUUUGGUUCUUCAAGGUUCUCAAAGAAUUGUCACAUUCCUUUUUAAAACAAAUCAUACCCGCCGUGUCUACCUCAUUGCGCACAAGCGAUGGAUUUUGGCUGGUGUCUGGUGCAUCCGGAUUUUGUACGAUGAUGUUACCUGCGUUAAUAAGCUCCUGAAUUGCUUUCUUCAGCUUCCAUCACUUUUCUGUGUCAUGCCCCGGAGCAUCUGAGCCAUAUGCACACUUUAGAGAAAAAUCACACACUUUUCCGUGUCAUUCCCCGGAGCAUGUGAGCAAUAUGCACACUUUAGAGAAAAAUCACAUUUCAGAGGGUUUGGCAUUUUUAUCUGAAUCGGCUUCAGCAUGCCCACUUGCUUCAAUUUUUGGAACAAACUGGCAUAUGACUCUCCCGUAGAGGUGAAAGCCUUUUCUCGUUUCAGCAACCACUCAUUCCUAAACGCCUGAUUUGGCCUAAAACCUGACCCAGGGAUUUUCUGGUAUGCUCGUGGGGGUGGAUAGGCAUUUCGUGGAGCUGGUACUUGGAGAGUGAGGUAUGUCUUUGGGAAUUCUAUGGGAAAAAGUAAUGUUAGGGAGGGUCAUCCAGUGCACGAGGAUAUUCACGGGUACGAUGUCGAGGUUGGAAAUGUUUAUCAGGAGAGUCAUUUGGAUCAUCCUUUCUGUUUCUCUUUCUCCCUUCCGAGCUUAACGAGAUGUCUUGAAUGUAUUUCGAGCAACUUAUUAUUUUGUCUUACUUGAUUCCUUGUUCUACGAACUCCCCCAUUCUUAACACAUCAUCGAAAGGUCUGCCCGGGAUCAAAUGAUUGAAGUAAGUGGGACCCUGGGCCUUUAUGAAAAUUUAAACCAUCUCUUCUUCACCAAUCGGGGUAUUAACUCGAGCCGUUUGCUCUUUCCAGCUGAGCCCAAACUCUCUAAUGCUCUCCCCUGGUUUCUUUUACAUUCUAGAUAGGGAGGAGCGGUUUGGGACAAUGUCUUUAUCGUACUGAAAAUGUCGUACAAAAUCUCGAGCCAUGACGCCUAACGUGUGACACCUCCCGACAUCUUGACGAUCAUGCCAUUCCAAGGCUGCCUCAGUCAGGCUCUCACUGAAAUACGACAUCAACAACUCAUCUUCCCUGCCGACAUUCCUCGUUUUGUUGCAAUCACCCUUAAGUGGGCUACUGGAUCUCCUCGCCCAUCAUACAAAUUAAACUUGGGCAUCUUAUACUCUUCCAGCUUUCUAGAUAUCUCAUCCCGUCCCACUGUUUUAGCAAGCUUCGUAGUCUCACCGGGAGACUCAAACUGAAGAGCGUAGUGGUAUGGACUCGAUGCCUUGACAAUUGAUUCUAGAGCAUAAUGUUGGGCAUCGAGGACUAAUGGCGGAGGAUACCCACUGGCCCAAGCUCUGUGCAUUACGACUAUCUGUCUUUUCAACCUCAAAACCUCUUCUUUCAAUUCAGAUUCAGAUUCAACAACUCCUCUAGACGAAUCAGUAAUACUUGUGUUUAACCCUUUACCAGCCAUGACUGCCUUGCUUUUUGACCUUGUGUUGUAUGGAUGAGUUUCCACAAACCAACCACCUCAACUUUCUUCAUAACUCGAAACAAAACAUGUUAGAAUGGAUUGAGUCGGUCCUCAGUAUUCACAACAUCUUUUUCCAUUUUUUUUUAAUUCUUCUUUUUCAUUUUUCAUUCAUGUUUUUUUCUUCUUUUUGUUUUGGUUGUGGUCGAAUCUUAUGUGGAUUGCAUACGUAUCGUGACCCCGCACGAAUAAGACCAGGCGUAGUUCGUGCCAAUAAAAGGUAAACGACAAUAAAAUGUUUUUUGAAUUUUCUAUUAUUUUCUAAUAACCAUAAAAUAUUUUUGGUAUUUACUUGACCACUGACUCUUUUCUAUUUUUUUCAAAUUAAAAUAGAUGACUCGGUAUUGCAAAUACGGCCUUCGAACUCCUCGGGGAUGAAGAUUUUAAGGCUGUGAGAGUCAGAAAUCAAAAUAUGAUCAAAGGUGGCUAUUUAUGCAAGGUUAGCCUUCCGGCGUUCCGUUUGGAAACAUUUGGCUAUUUUUGACAAAAACGGCAUCACCUGGUUUAUUUGUGAUGAAAAUUAAAAUUUUGGAUAUUUUUUGCUAUUUUUGCAAAUGGGAGGAUGGACCCGAUAAGGGUUGCCUACAUAUCUCACGUCCUGUGAGAAUCAAACCAUGCGUAGUUCGGGCAAAUAAACUAACUAAAAAAUUUUAAAACAAAACUUUUUCUAAGUUUUUCUCCAUUUUCUUUUUUUUUUUGAAAUCAAAUCAAAAUGAUCAUUAUUUUUUAAUUUUCAAACAAAUUUUCCCAAAGUAAAAGACUUUUUUUAUGUUUCUUUUUAUUUUAAUAAAACAAACUACAUAAAAAAUAUUUUCUUCUUCCUUUUUUUUCAAAUUUCGGCAGAGUUUCGACAGUACUGGGGCGUUGGUUUUUCUAAAGUAAUCAAUUAAUUCCCUAACCGUUAUUUCUCUCUCUUUCUCUUUUCUCUUUUUCUCAAUUUUCCAACAUUCCCGAGAUUCAUAAACCGGUCAACAUGCAGGUUCGAAACAAAUAUAUGUACAUAGAAAGUAGGAUGCAUCAGUAUAAUUUUUUUCAUUUCAGGUUGCUAGCCCUAGACGGGCCCAACCCUUGUGUUGAGUCCCCUAAGUCAAAUGCAAUAUGAUGCAAAUAAGCGUUCCUACUAGGGAUCUGGCAUGAAGUCAAGUUAUUCUAUAUUCAAAACCUGGAUCGGUGUUCUAGACUGUGUACCCGAGCGGAACACUCGAGUCGAGGAGGGGGCAACUUACCGGGAACCAAAAGGCCAUCCGGCAUCGUAGCUUGUCCGAAUCUCGACCAGUAAGCACAUCCCCAGAGGUAAAUAGAGAAGGGUGUCGGCACAGUAUAUAUACAAUUAAGAUAAUAUCAAAGCGGUAACAUUUAGCACACACAGCAUGUAAGAAAAAUCAGAUAUAACCAAAUACAGCAAUUCAUCUAAGCUCGAAUUCUGAAUCCUGAACAAAAUGUUCUGGGUUCUUUUUCCCGUCAGAGUCGCCGGAGCAGUCACACCUCCUUUUUCCGCUAUACACCCUGCAAAGGGAGCGUAAAGGAGUUUUUCCAAUCAAAGGAUAAUUAAAAUGGGAUUUGGUUAUUAUUGAUUCAGAGUCGCCACUUGGGAGAUUUAUGGUGUCCCAAGUCACCGAUUUGAAUCCCAAACCGANNNNNNNNNNNNNNNNNNNNNNNNNNNNNNNNNNNNNNNNNNNNNNNNNNNNNNNNNNNNNNNNNNNNNNNNNNNNNNNNNNNNNNNNNNNNNNNNNNNNNNNNNNNNNNNNNNNNNNNNNNNNNNNNNNNNUUUACAGUCUGCAAACCAGAAAUCCGAGUAAGGAAUUCUGUUUACCCGGGAGAAGGUGUUAGGCAUUCCUGUGUUCCGUGGCUCUAGCACGGUCGCUUAACUGUAGUAUUUGAUUUUAUCUGAUUCUAAUAUAUGCUAGCUUAUGUUCUUUUUAUUUAUAUAACGCUUUUACGAUUAUUUAUUUUAAAAGACUUGCGACGUCGUGAAAACAUAUUACUAAUCACGUCACCACCAGUGUACACGUGAUCAUCGACACGUUUCGACUUCGUCGAGAUUUGUAUUUGGGUCGCAUCAAUGCACACUCGUAUUUAAGAAUGUAAUUUAUUAAAGCCACACCUAAUAGAGUCUAGCGCGUUAUUAUCCUUUGGGAGGGCCGUGAAAUUCACUAAACGGAGCUUUCCGAUUUUCUAAAUAUUUUAAACCUUUAUUGAGGGCCCCGCAAGUUUGCAAUUUUUAUUGAGCGAGGCUCGUCUCAUUUAUUUUAAAAGGAUAAACCUACAAAGCGACUACAUUUUUUAUUUUUAUUUUUCUUUCUAAAAGAAAAGAAAAUUUCCUAAUUGAUUAUUAUUAAAAGCUUGUGUUUCGUGUUCAAGUUCGGGUCCAAACAAAAGGACGAACCUUUUAAUUUAAAACCCGCUACCUAACCCAAAACCCAAGCUUAUAUUUCUUGCUAAAUUAUAGACUGAAACUUUCGAGACAAAUACACAUUUAUCAUGAUUCAGUGUUCCUAAUUAAGCAUAAGAAGAACCUAUCAAUCCAUUUUCCACAUUCAACAUAUUUGCUAAUAUUGAAAGUUAAAUUAAUUACUGAAAUGAGAUUAUAAUUACGCUAAUGAAUGACUACAGCAGCCCUGAUUAUCUAUGUUUAACACAAUGCUAAAGUGAAAUUCAUUGUAGUAUUGAAUCCUAACAUGAAUAUGGCAUAGACAUUAAUUUCCAACUCACUUAUUAACCCGAUGAGGGCUCUGAGGAUCACAAAACAUCAAAAUCUCUUUCUUGUUUAAGUUGUCUCUGAUCUCUAAGACCAAACCCACAAAAAUGGAAUUGAACUAAUUAAAACUAACGAACAACAUCUAACUUUUACAGUCCAAAGUUUAUUACAUAUCCAAAAAGUUCAAAACAAAACAAGUCUCAGAUUUAAUACCAAUCAAUGAAAUUAAACUAAACAAACGCAUCAUAUCGACUAUCUAUAAUUACGGGCAUUCAAAUGAGCAUGGAUCUGGAAUAAAACUUCAUUUCACCCAAAUUUGGAAUUACAUCAGGAUGAAUUCGAACUGUGUACCCGGGGAUUGAAAUUCCAAAACAGAAGAAGAAGGAGUCAGCCAAGCAGACCAGCAAUAAACAAUAGUCGAACUCAAUACAAACGUCGAAGCACAGCCAGGGAAGACUCCAACAAAACUUCAGCGAAAUCCACAAUUAAGCAUAAAUAAAACUCAACUACUAAAGACUCAAAUAGGCCCAAAUGAACUAGGAAUGGAAUCCAAGUGUACCAAAUAACCCAUCAGCAAACAUAAACCAACAAUCAAACUCGACUAAACCUCAAUUUGACUUGAAAAACCAGCCAAGUUCAUUCGAAUUUCAACUCAAUGAGCUUCUGAACCUCAAGCAAUUAGAUAUCAAGGUAGAGAAUGCAAAUUAAACACCCAGACUUGAAUUAAACUGAUAUCUCCAGGGAGCAGUAAAUAUUUCUGGAUUUUUUAAGGUUUUUUUUGUUGUUCUUGGUUUUUCUUUUGAAAAGAAUGUAAAAAUCUAAGAGAAUUUCAUAUAUGAAGUUUUAAUUCCAGAUUUGGAAGCUUUGGGGAGUAUUUUUGGGGAUCUUUUUGCUACAAAAACUUGCUCUUCAAGGCAAUUUGAUGCUCUUUUUAUAGGUCUAAGGGAGGCCAGCCUUACAUUUUCUGUUUCCUUUCUAAUCAUUUUUAAAUUUUGUUUUAUUCAAAUUCACUCCUAAGUUAACUUCUAAUUCUAAAAUAAAACCCAUUCCUCCCCCAGAUAAGAGCUGUCAUUCUCUCCUCACUCCUCACAUGCCUUUCCAACCUUAUCUACUAGAACCUUCCUACAUAACAGCCUAUAACUCUAAUUGAAACUGAAAACUAAUCACACUGAGUCAUUAAAGAAAACUAACAUUUGAGUUACCUAAUCAAGAUGUUGAAAACAGAUUGCAAUGUACAAUUACGGGUCGACUUAUUAUCAGAAUGCACCAACAUUAGUAUUAAGAGCAAUAUUGGACUGAACAUCUAACUGGGAAAAACAAUUUGCGAGAAGGAUAUUGAACUGAAGCUAAUUGACUGAGUUAAUUAGAACUAAACUAAUACCUAACAAUUAGACCAACAUUUGUCCAACUAAAACUGAAUAAGACAAAAUUCAAAUAAGCUAAACAAAAAUGGGAAUUAAACUCAGAGCGAAAUUGGACCGAUAUUAAACUGGCAAUCAAACUUAUUAGGAAACUAAUUUCGAUUAACAGAUAAAAAGAGAAACUAAAAAAAAAACAAAGAGGGACUCACUUCUUGAAAAUUGGUUCAUAGUUUGUGAAGUCUUGGUGGUAUUCGACCCUCGCCAAAGGUCGAUUCUUCACGAGGAGACGAGGCAACCUUGGCGUGUUAAUUUGAGACCAAACGAAGGACCUAAGGACUUGACUACCAUCUUUGACUGAAAAUUCGAGGCGUUGUAGACUGAUUUGAAGGAGACCCUUGAUGAGUCGGAGGAGAAGGUCUAGUGGUGUGAGUUUGGACGCGUUUGGGCAAGUUUCGACUUGGCCGGACAAUUUCAGUCGAAGAUUUGGACAGUCUAACUGUGAUUCGAAGGAAGCCAAUGUGAUAUUUGGAAUGAGGGUAUCGAGGAGGGUUGGUGGUGUUAUUUUGGAUGGGAACGGUGAAGAUGGCGUUUCCAGCCGGUGAGGAUUCCGGCGAGGAUUUGCAGAGAGUUAUACGAGGAUGGAAGCCUGGUCGUUUAGGGU
RNAcentral lists this long non-coding RNA (12978 nucleotides) under Nicotiana benthamiana. RNAcentral's name for it is "long non-coding RNA (NBEN_LNC039442)". The record is from RNAcentral. Lineage: Eukaryota; Viridiplantae; Streptophyta; Magnoliopsida; Solanales; Solanaceae.